Molecule: ribosomal RNA, 456 nt
Filed under: uncultured bacterium
Lineage: Bacteria
Description: bacterial SSU rRNA
Rfam family: Bacterial small subunit ribosomal RNA
Source: RNAcentral
UACGGGAGGCAGCAGUGGGGAAUAUUGCACAAUGGGUGCAAGCCUGAUGCAGCCAUGCCGCGUGUAUGAAGAAGGCCUUCGGGUUGUAAAGUACUUUUCAGUCGUGAGGAAGGUGUUAAGGUUAAUAACCUUAGCAAUUGACGUUAGCGACAGAAGAAGCACCGGCUAACUCCGUGCCAGCAGCCGCGGUAAUACGGAGGGUGCGAGCGUUAAUCGGAAUUACUGGGCGUAAAGGGCACGCAGGCGGUUAAUUAAGUUGGAUGUGAAAUCCCCGGGCUUAACCUGGGAAUGGCAUUCAAGACUGGUUAGCUAGAGUCUUGUAGAGGGGGAUAGAAUUCCAUGUGUAGCGGUGAAAUGCGUAGAGAUGUGGAGGAAUACCGGUGGCGAAGGCGGCCCCUGGGACAAAGACUGACGCUCAUGUGCGAAAGCGUGGGGAGCAAACAGGAUUAGGAUACC